RNAcentral lists this ribosomal RNA (253 nucleotides) under uncultured bacterium. RNAcentral's name for it is "partial 16S ribosomal RNA". It matches the Rfam family "Bacterial small subunit ribosomal RNA", at positions 524 to 776 of the family's 1533-position model. The record is from RNAcentral.
UACGUAGGGGGCAAGCGUUGUCCGGAUUUAUUGGGCGUAAAGAGCGUGUAGGCGGCCAUGUAGGUCCGUUGUGAAAACUCGAGGCUCAACCUCGAGACGCCGAUGGAAACCAUGUGGCUAGAGUCCGGAAGAGGAGAGUGGAAUUCCUGGUGUAGCGGUGAAAUGCGCAGAUAUCAGGAGGAACACCAAUGGCGAAGGCAGCACUCUGGGACGGUACUGACGCUGAGACGCGAAAGCGUGGGGAGCAAACAGG